GCUGGCGUGGCCAAACGGUAAGGCAUCUGUUUUGUAAUCAGAGGAUUGGGGGUUCAAAUCCCUCCGCCAGCUCCA
Molecule: transfer RNA, 75 nt
Filed under: Gammaproteobacteria bacterium
Lineage: Bacteria; Pseudomonadati; Pseudomonadota; Gammaproteobacteria
Description: tRNA-Thr
Rfam family: tRNA
About the family: Transfer RNA (tRNA) molecules are approximately 80 nucleotides in length. Their secondary structure includes four short double-helical elements and three loops (D, anti-codon, and T loops). Further hydrogen bonds mediate the characteristic L-shaped molecular structure. tRNAs have two regions of fundamental functional importance: the anti-codon, which is responsible for specific mRNA codon recognition, and the 3' end, to which the tRNAs corresponding amino acid is attached (by aminoacyl-tRNA synthetases). tRNAs cope with the degeneracy of the genetic code in two manners: having more than one tRNA (with a specific anti-codon) for a particular amino acid; and 'wobble' base-pairing, i.e. permitting non-standard base-pairing at the 3rd anti-codon position.
Source: RNAcentral